GACGAACGCUGGCGGCGUGCUUAACACAUGCAAGUCGAACGGUGAAGGGACUGGUUUUGCUGGUCCUGGAUGAGUGGCGAACGGGUGAGUAACACGUGAGUAACCUGCCCCCUUCUUCUGGAUAACCGCAUGAAAGUGUGGCUAAUACGGGAUAUUCUGGGUCUGUCGCAUGGUGGGCCUGGGAAAGAUUGCGCCUUUUUUGGUGUUUUUGGUGGGGGAUGGGCUCGCGGCCUAUCAGCUUGUUGGUGGGGUGAUGGCCUACCAAGGCGGUGACGGGUAGCCGGGCUGAGAGGGUGGACGGGCACACUGGGACUGAGACACGGCCCAGACUCCUACGGGAGGCAGCAGUGGGGAAGAGUGCACAAUGGGCGCAAGCCUGAUGCAGCGACGCCGCGUGAGGGAUGGAGGCCUUCGGGUUGUGAACCUCUUUCGCCAGUGAAGCAGGCCUGCCUCUUUUUGUGGGUGGGUUGACGGUAGCUGGAUAAGAAGCGCCGGCUAACUACGUG
RNAcentral lists this ribosomal RNA (506 nucleotides) under uncultured bacterium. RNAcentral's name for it is "partial 16S ribosomal RNA". It matches the Rfam family "Bacterial small subunit ribosomal RNA", at positions 28 to 507 of the family's 1533-position model. The record is from RNAcentral.